AAAAUUCGAAUUUAGCUCAUAUUUGUGAAAACAUGAAAAAAUUUUAUUUUGAAAAGAUUUAGAUCUAUAUAAUAAAAAUACACAUGGAUCUAAAUGUAAUUGAUUAUUCGAAUUGAUUUUUUUUAAAUAAAUUUAAUACACGCGCACACCGUAUAAUUUUAAAAUAUUAUAAAAUUAACACUUUAAAAUCGUAUAAUUUUAAAAUUUUUUCAAUUUUUUCCUCACUUUAAAAUUCUGAAUUGAAAAUUUUCUAUAUAUAUAACACAAACUUUUGGAUAAAAACACAUUACAUAUAACAGCAUAACAAUUAACACACCUGAGUAUCCAUUACCCAACAAUCAUCACCCACUUCAGCUGCACACCUAAAUCGGAAAAUCCUCACCCCAAAUCCCUCGUCGUCAGACGGCAGCAAAUCGUCGGUUCCUCCAACGCCAGUGCGAGCCCACGCCGUCGCUGAUCAGUCAUCACGUCGUCACGCUGUCGCUUGCCUAUGCCGUUCAGUCAUCACUUUAGUCUUCGCAAGGUCAAGCCGUCGUUCCUCAGUCCUGAAGAAACACCGUCGCUGCUCAGUCCCCUCCCGUUGUCGACUUGUCGCUGCUCAACCCCUUCGCGACGUCACUGCUCCACCAAGUUUGCUUAAUCCCAAUUGCUGGGGAUUUGUCAUUUAUGGGGUUGUUAGACUUGAUCGUUAGUAACAAUUAAUUUAGAUUUGUUUAGUAUUUGAUUUUUUUAAAAAAAAUUCUUUAACAAGUAAAAUGCUGUAAAUUUGUGAAUAAAUAUAUUAAAUUCCGGAUAUACAUGUUUUAGAAUAUCCUUCUAAAUUUAUACGAGUAUUAUCCGCAUUCUAAUUAAAUCUAUAUUUAUUUAUUUAUUUUGCGGAUGCAUAUACGAAUCCCAAAAGAACAAUCCAGAUCUAAAUCCAAAUUUUGUCAUCCGUUAACAAUACAAAUCAAAAAGAAAAAGCAA
This 966-nucleotide long non-coding RNA is filed under the name Citrus maxima (pomelo). RNAcentral describes it as "long non-coding RNA (CMAX_LNC003985)". Lineage: Eukaryota; Viridiplantae; Streptophyta; Magnoliopsida; Sapindales; Rutaceae. The record is from RNAcentral.